GGUGGCUCAGUAGUAGAGUGCUUACCUUGCAUGCAUGAGGCCCUGGGUUCGAUUCCCAGCACCA
RNAcentral lists this transfer RNA (64 nucleotides) under Dipodomys ordii (Ord's kangaroo rat). It matches the Rfam family "tRNA". From Rfam's summary of the family: Transfer RNA (tRNA) molecules are approximately 80 nucleotides in length. Lineage: Eukaryota; Metazoa; Chordata; Mammalia; Rodentia; Heteromyidae. The record is from Rfam by way of RNAcentral.